This 236-nucleotide unclassified non-coding RNA is filed under the name Ascomycota sp. RNAcentral's name for it is "partial contains small subunit ribosomal RNA, internal transcribed spacer 1, and 5.8S ribosomal RNA". The stretch from base 1 to 47 matches the Rfam family "Eukaryotic small subunit ribosomal RNA", at positions 1785 to 1831 of the family's 1831-position model. Lineage: Eukaryota; Fungi; Ascomycota. The record is from RNAcentral.
AAAGUCGUAACAAGGUCUCCGUUGGUGAACCAGCGGAGGGAUCAUUACAGAGUUGCAAAACUCCCUAAACCAUCGCGAACCCACCCCUAAACAGUUGCUUCGGCGGCGCCCGAAGGCCCUCACCGGCCGGAGCGCCCCGCCGGGGACCCCCCAAACUCUUGUUUUUAACAAAAUGGCCUCUCUGAGUACUGUACUUUAAUAAGUCAAAACUUUCAACAACGGAUCUCUUGGUUCUG